CUACGGGAUGCUGCAGUGAGGAAUAUUGCACAAUGGGGGGAACCCUGAUGCGGCAACGCCGCGUGGAGGAUGACGCAUUUCGGUGUGUAAACUCCUUUUAUAUGUCAAGAAAAUGACGGUAGCAUAUGAAUAAGCACCGGCUAACUCCGUGCCAGCAGCCGCGGUAAUACGGAGGGUGCAAGCGUUACUCGGAAUCACUGGGCGUAAAGGACGCGUAGGCGGGUUGGAAAGUCAGGUGUGAAAUCCUACAGCUUAACUGUAGAACUGCACUUGAAACUUCUAAUCUAGAGUAUGGGAGGGGGAGAUGGAAUUAGUGGUGUAGGGGUAAAAUCCGUAGAUAUCGCUAGGAAUACCUAAAGCGAAGGCGAUCUCCUGGAACAUUACUGACGCUAAGGCGUGAAAGCGUGGGGAGCAAACAGGAUUAGAUACCCUCGUAGUC
Molecule: ribosomal RNA, 439 nt
Filed under: uncultured bacterium
Lineage: Bacteria
Description: partial 16S ribosomal RNA
Rfam family: Bacterial small subunit ribosomal RNA
Source: RNAcentral